RNAcentral lists this ribosomal RNA (419 nucleotides) under uncultured bacterium. RNAcentral's name for it is "bacterial SSU rRNA". It matches the Rfam family "Bacterial small subunit ribosomal RNA", at positions 39 to 455 of the family's 1533-position model. The record is from RNAcentral.
GGCCGCGGGAAUUCGAUUCAGGCCUAACACAUGCAAGUCGAGCGAACCCUUCGGGGUGAGCGGCGGACGGGUGAGUAACGCGUGGGUAACCUGCCCUAUACACACGGAUAACGUACCGAAAGGUACGCUAAUACGAGAUGAUAUAUUUUUAUCGCAUGGUAGAAAUAUCAAAGCUCCGGCGGUAUAGGAUGGACCCGCGUCUGAUUAGCUAGUUGGUAAGGUAAUGGCUUACCAAGGCGACGAUCAGUAGCCGACCUGAGAGGGUGAUCGGCCACAUUGGAACUGAGACACGGUCCAAACUCCUACGGGAGGCAGCAGUGGGGAAUAUUGCACAAUGGGCGAAAGCCUGAUGCAGCAACGCCGCGUGAGCGAAAGAGGCCUUCGGGUCGUAAAGCUCUGUCCUCAAGGAAGAUAAUGAC